UACGUAGGGUGCAAGCGUUAAUCGGAAUUUCUGGGCGUAAAGCGUGCGCAGGCGGUUCGCUAAGACAGAUGUGAAAUCCCCGGGCUUAACCUGGGAACUGCAUUUGUGACUGGCGGGCUAGAGUAUGGCAGAGGGGGGUAGAAUUCCACGUGUAGCAGUGAAAUGCGUAGAGAUGUGGAGGAAUACCGAUGGCGAAGGCAGCCCCCUGGGCCAAUACUGACGCUCAUGCACGAAAGCGUGGGGAGCAAACAGG
Molecule: ribosomal RNA, 253 nt
Filed under: uncultured bacterium
Lineage: Bacteria
Description: partial 16S ribosomal RNA
Rfam family: Bacterial small subunit ribosomal RNA
Source: RNAcentral